UAAUAUUUAGUUCUCAAACUAACAGAGCGCGCUAGCAGCAGCACUGCAAGCGCGCCGCCAAAAUCCACUUUUAAAAAUCCUAAAAAAAAAUGUUGAACAAUUUCUUUCGAAUUUUAAACAUCUAUCGUCUAGACUUUAACUUAUUAGAACAAUGUAACUCCUAUCCAUAAUCAACUAAGUAUAUUGUGAGAUUGGCCAACUCUUACAAAAUGUUCCAGCUACAAUAAUUGUUGUUACUUGUUGGAGGUCAGUUUUACAGCUUUUGGUGAUCAGAUGCCCAUUCCAAUACAGAUUUUCAAAGUAGUAAUUCCAACUGAGACAGCCCAUUGAGGGGAAAAGAGAAAGUAACCCCACCUCCUUUAGUUUCGCCCCGGAUUCUUACAAUGCGAUCCAUACAUACUGAUAC
This is a long non-coding RNA of Adelges cooleyi (spruce gall adelgid), 406 nucleotides long. RefSeq lists it as uncharacterized. The record is from RefSeq and is a predicted model, not a curated record. Lineage: Eukaryota; Metazoa; Arthropoda; Insecta; Hemiptera; Adelgidae. The transcript has 3 exons.